RNAcentral lists this long non-coding RNA (235 nucleotides) under Lathyrus oleraceus (garden pea). RNAcentral's name for it is "Pisum sativum (pea) long non-coding RNA (PSAT_LNC012483)". The record is from RNAcentral. Lineage: Eukaryota; Viridiplantae; Streptophyta; Magnoliopsida; Fabales; Fabaceae.
UCAACUGAUCAAUGUACCGUACAAGUCUGAUAGAUUCGGCCUGGGGUUUAACUCUGAGAAGAUAGUCAAAGAUCAGAUUAAUGCUAUAGAAGAUGCUGACAGCGACUGCGACCUGGAUAGCUGGGUUUACCCAACAAUUGGUGACGGACUCAAUAAUUGGAAGGCUGAAGACACUAUCCCGAUUUCCUUUAGUCAGGAGUAAUUGUUAUUGUCUGUUUUAGUGUUGCAAUUUUUU